This 497-nucleotide ribosomal RNA is filed under the name uncultured bacterium. Its description in RNAcentral is "partial 16S ribosomal RNA". It matches the Rfam family "Bacterial small subunit ribosomal RNA", at positions 28 to 507 of the family's 1533-position model. The record is from RNAcentral.
GAUGAACGCUGGCGGCGUGCCUAAUACAUGCAAGUCGAGCGAACAGACUAGGAGCUUGCUCCUCUGACGUUAGCGGCGGACGGGUGAGUAACACGUGGAUAACCUACCUAUAAGACUGGGAUAACUUCGGGAAACCGGAGCUAAUACCGGAUAAUAUAUUGAACCGCAUGGUUCAAUAGUGAAAGACGGUUUUGCUGUCACUUAUAGAUGGAUCCGCGCCGCAUUAGCUAGUUGGUAAGGUAACGGCUUACCAAGGCAACGAUGCGUAGCCGACCUGAGAGGGUGAUAGGCCACACUGGAACUGGGACACGGUCAAGACUCCUAAGGGAGGCAGCAGUAGGGAAUCUUCCGCAAUGGGCGAAAGCCUGACGGAGCAACGCCGCGUGAGUGAUGAAGGUCUUCGGAUCGUAAAACUCUGUUAUUAGGGAAGAACAAAUGUGUAAGUAACUAUGCACGUCGUGACGGUACCUAAUCAGAAAGCCACGGCUAACUACGUG